AGAGUUUGAUCCUGGCUCAGAUUGAACGCUGGCGGCAGGCCUAACACAUGCAAGUCGAACGGUAACAGGAAACAGCUUGCUGUUUCGCUGACGAGUGGCGGACGGGUGAGUAAUGUCUGGGAAACUGCCUGAUGGAGGGGGAUAACUACUGGAAACGGUAGCUAAUACCGCAUAAUGUCGCAAGACCAAAGAGGGGGACCUUCGGGCCUCUUGCCAUCGGAUGUGCCCAGAUGGGAUUAGCUAGUAGGUGGGGUAACGGCUCACCUAGGCGACGAUCCCUAGCUGGUCUGAGAGGAUGACCAGCCACACUGGAACUGAGACACGGUCCAGACUCCUACGGGAGGCAGCAGUGGGGAAUAUUGCACAAUGGGGGAAACCCUGAUGCAGCGACGCCGCGUGAGUGAAGAAGUAUUUCGGUAUGUAAAGCUCUAUCAGCAGGGAAGAAGAAAGACGGUACCUGACUAAGAAGCCCCGGCUAACUACGUGCCAGCAGCCGCGGUAGUACGUAGGGGGCAAGCGUUAUCCGG
Molecule: ribosomal RNA, 527 nt
Filed under: uncultured bacterium
Lineage: Bacteria
Description: bacterial SSU rRNA
Rfam family: Bacterial small subunit ribosomal RNA
Source: RNAcentral